CGAACACCAGGGCAGCUUACUGGUUGAAAACAAUCCCAUUUACUUUUGCCGUUUUUGUUUACUAUUUUCCACCAGCUAUAGUGAAGUAGUAUUUGUGUCAUGUGACGUGUACGUACAUGAGCCGUAGAAAAGUCUAUGGGUACUUGAUUUUAUCAGUGUGGAGGAAAACAAAUCGUUGAACACACUAAUACAGUUACAGAUUGUCAAGUACUCUAUUAGGUUUGUUCCAGUACCAGGAGAAACCGGAAGUACUCCGGAGAAAAUCGUUCUUGUACUUUCGUCUUCUUUUUUGUUCUUCUGGUAGCAAACCGGAGUAAAAAGGUACAAGUAUUUUUGGCUUCUGUUUGCUCCGGAGUGACUUCCGUGUACUGGAACCAGAGAUGCCAGGUACUUUUUUCAAAUGUCUGCAAUAAUAAUUUUAAAAGUGUGGGAAGAACAAAAAAUGUCAGGAAAGCUAGUGUAACCAAAAGCCUUUAUAUUCAAAAAUCUGUAAAUAUCUGCAACCAAACUAAAAAAUCUGCAAAUAUCUGCAACCAAACUAACAAAUCUAGGAUGUGUUUUCAAAAGGUCGUAAGCGACAAAAGUAAACAAACUGAGCUAUCUAUGUUAUAUAACUCUUCUAUUAAAUUUCUAUCAUAUGACUCGAACGGAAUUCUCAAGACACAGUUUUUAUCGUAUACGGCUUUUUGGUUUCACACGGUCGUAAAUACAUCAGCAUUGGACUUGCUAGAAUGUGGAGAUACGCGUGUAGUCAAAGGACCGAAUAGUGACGAAUCAAAACAUUAGAUCUUUGUGCACCCAAUUUUCUCUUCUGCGGACUCUUCUAAUAGACCUCUAUCCCAAGCAUGUUUGCGUCACUUGCUUAAAGAAUGUUGAUUGUCUCUGAUGGGAUAUCUUGGCGUGAAAGCAACAUUUAGUGAUAAAAAUGGACACAAAUAACGGAUUUCAACUGCUACUAAAUGUAGCAGAACUUAUGCUGGACGACGAGGCAGCCAACCGAACGUCCCUUGAUUUGUCAUUUAAUCAUGUUGUUUCAUCUACACCGCUUCGUCAGCAUCUACCACAAGGUUUUGUGAUGAGUGAUUGCACGAGAACUAACAAUACGUCAUUAGUGGUCCAUACCAUGGAUCAAGAGCUUCUUCGAACUCCUUGUAUUAGCAGCAGCUCAUUAUUAAUUAGAUCAAUGGAUGAUCAAUUUCUUCGAUCUCAUCCUUCUCGGUACUCAAAAUUGCAAAGGCAUGAAUCAAAUCAAACCAUUCCUGUCAUAGAUCAGGAAAACGACUUACUAGUAAGUCACCAGGCAUAUGACUCGGCUCUACUAGUUCGAACUAUGGAUUCCCGGAUCUUGGGAACUCGCAACGCCCGUUCUGUUGAAUCAACGAUUAAUGACCGCGGAAUGACUACCUUGCCAUGGGGAAAGAAUCGUCUAUUCCAAUACAAUCGGUCUAUGACUUCGGAAACUGCCAGCGUAAUGAAACACAGAGUUUUUCAGACAGCUCGACGAAAUCGUUUUGGUGGUCGAUAAAACAAGGGUUCACUGGAUUGUAAUUUGGAUCGGUCAAUAAAUAUUCGGCCCUUUCAUGACGUAACGAAUCGGAAUGAGUCUACUACUAGGAUCAAGCGUUUCUGCGACAGGUCAUCAGACCCAUCACAAUGGAAUAGGCUAUCGAAUAUGCGUCGACGGCUUCCUUCUGGCGAAUUAUUGCAUCCUCAAAUGAAUCUAUCUGUGCAGCCAGUUGAAAGUACUCCUACGUACACUGAAUGCACUGAGGCUGCCGCACAAAUCGGAGAUGAAAUUACCACUGUCGAGGAAGAGCCUCAACGCAAUGAAAGUGAGCGCAGAAGAAAUAAUGAGGAUUCGGAUAAUACUGAGACUGAUGAAAGUAUAGCUGAUGCAGCAAACAGCGCAAACUGUACUAUAUUCAACGACGAUUCGGUGAAGGAUCCAGACUGGGUGCUUUCCAACACCAAUAUUGAUAAUGAGGAUGCAGAUGACGAAGGUGACCCAACUUUUCUUAAUAACUUAUCGAUUUAUGAAUACUACGAAAAAUUCAAAUCCAACUGUAAUGAAUACCAAUCGGAUAAUGGAACCGUUGAAUAUCAA
Long non-coding RNA from Topomyia yanbarensis, 2104 nucleotides. RefSeq lists it as uncharacterized. The transcript has 5 exons. NCBI's taxonomy places the organism in Eukaryota, Metazoa, Arthropoda, Insecta, Diptera, Culicidae. The record is from RefSeq and is a predicted model, not a curated record.